This 253-nucleotide ribosomal RNA is filed under the name uncultured bacterium. RNAcentral's name for it is "partial 16S ribosomal RNA". It matches the Rfam family "Bacterial small subunit ribosomal RNA", at positions 524 to 776 of the family's 1533-position model. The record is from RNAcentral.
UACAGAGGUCUCAAGCGUUGUUCGGAUUCAUUGGGCGUAAAGGGUGCGUAGGUGGCGCCGUAAGUCAGGUGUGAAAUCUCGGGGCUCAACCCCGGAACUGCAUCCGAUACUGCGUGGCUAGAGGUAGGUAGGGGAGAUCGGAAUUCCUGGUGUAGCGGUGAAAUGCGCAGAUAUCAGGAGGAACACCGGUGGCGAAGGCGGAUCUCUGGGCCUUACCUGACGCUCAGGCACGAAAGCUAGGGGAGCGAACAGG